GUCGGGCGGUAACAGGGGUAGCUUGCUACCUCGCUGACAAGCGUCGGCCGGGUGAGUAAUGCAUAGGAAUCUGCCCGAUAGUGGGGGAUAACCUGGGGAAACCCAGGCUAAUACCGCAUACGUCCUACGGGAGAAAGGGGGCUUCGGCUCCCGCUAUUGGAUGAGCCUAUGUCGGAUUAGCUAGUUGGUGAGGUAAAGGCUCACCAAGGCAACUGAUCCUGUAGCUGGUCUGAGAGGAUGAUCAGCCACAUCGGGACUGAGACACGGCCCGAACUCCUACGGGAGGCAGCAGUGGGGAAUAUUGGACAAUGGGGGCAACCCUGAUCCAGCCAUGCCGCGUGUGUGAAGAAGGCCCUCGGGUUGUAAAGCACUUUCAGCGAGGAAGAACGCCUAUCGGUUAAUACCCGGUAGGAAAGACAUCACUCGCAGAAGAAGCACCGGCUAACUCCGUGCCAGCAGCCGCGGUAAUACUGAGGGUGCAAGCGUUAAUCGGAAUUCUGGGCGUAAGGCGCGCGUA
This 517-nucleotide ribosomal RNA is filed under the name uncultured bacterium. RNAcentral's name for it is "bacterial SSU rRNA". It matches the Rfam family "Bacterial small subunit ribosomal RNA", at positions 61 to 573 of the family's 1533-position model. The record is from RNAcentral.